GGGGGCGAACGGGCUCGACAGGGCCGGUUUGAUUCUCGAUCGCGAGCCGUGGAUUCUCGUUGGCCACGUAAAAAACGGGAAACAAAAGUAGCUGCGAAUAACAACUACGCCUUCGCUGCCUAACUUAAAAGUUAGCAACUAGCGAGGUCCGCUCCCCACGAGCCGGUAGGGGGGAAUUGCGGGCCUAAUAAAAUCCGGAUCGGCCGCCUAGUCUCUGUUCGGGGCGAAGCGGGCUAAAGCAAUCGAACUGGAUGAUCCGCCCAGGUGGCCCCGGCAGAGGGCGGCAUCGAGAAAAGGUACAGGGGAGACGCUCGUGGUGAUAGAGAAGGCGACGGUUUUGGAAGGGGGUUCAACUCCCCCCGCCUCCACCA
This 371-nucleotide transfer-messenger RNA is filed under the name bacterium. It matches the Rfam family "transfer-messenger RNA". From Rfam's summary of the family: Bacterial tmRNA, also known as 10Sa RNA or SsrA, is named for its dual tRNA and mRNA-like properties. The record is from RNAcentral.